This 253-nucleotide ribosomal RNA is filed under the name uncultured bacterium. Its description in RNAcentral is "partial 16S ribosomal RNA". It matches the Rfam family "Bacterial small subunit ribosomal RNA", at positions 524 to 776 of the family's 1533-position model. The record is from RNAcentral.
GACGAACCGUGCGAACGUUGUUCGGAAUCACUGGGCUUAAAGGGCGCGUAGGCGGACCGCCAAGUCCGAGGUGAAAUCCUCCAGCUCAACUGGAGAACUGCCUUGGAUACUGGAGGUCUCGAGGGAGGUAGGGGCAAGCGGAACUGUGGGUGGAGCGGUGAAAUGCGUUGAUAUCCACAGGAACUCCGGUGGCGAAGGCGGCUUGCUGGCUCAUAUCUGACGCUCAGGCGCGACAGCGUGGGGAUCAAACAGG